RNAcentral lists this ribosomal RNA (2106 nucleotides) under Neisseria meningitidis 12888. RNAcentral's name for it is "bacterial LSU rRNA". It matches the Rfam family "Bacterial large subunit ribosomal RNA", at positions 828 to 2925 of the family's 2925-position model. Lineage: Bacteria; Pseudomonadati; Pseudomonadota; Betaproteobacteria; Neisseriales; Neisseriaceae. The record is from RNAcentral.
GCUAAACAAACUCGGAGAUAGCUGGUUCUCCCCGAAAACUAUUUAGGUAGUGCCUCGAGCAAGACACUGAUGGGGGUAAAGCACUGUUAUGGCUAGGGGGUUAUUGCAACUUACCAACCCAUGGCAAACUAAGAAUACCAUCAAGUGGUUCCUCGGGAGACAGACAGCGGGUGCUAACGUCCGUUGUCAAGAGGGAAACAACCCAGACCGCCAGCUAAGGUCCCAAAUGAUAGAUUAAGUGGUAGACGAAGUGGGAAGGCCCAGACAGCCAGGAUGUUGGCUUAGAAGCAGCCAUCAUUUAAAGAAAGCGUAAUAGCUCACUGGUCGAGUCGUCCUGCGCGGAAGAUGUAACGGGGCUCAAAUCUAUAACCGAAGCUGCGGAUGCCGGUUUACCGGCAUGGUAGGGGAGCGUUCUGUAGGCUGAUGAAGGUGCAUUGUAAAGUGUGCUGGAGGUAUCAGAAGUGCGAAUGUUGACAUGAGUAGCGAUAAAGCGGGUGAAAAGCCCGCUCGCCGAAAGCCCAAGGUUUCCUGCGCAACGUUCAUCGGCGUAGGGUGAGUCGGCCCCUAAGGCGAGGCAGAAAUGCGUAGUCGAUGGGAAACAGGUUAAUAUUCCUGUACUUGAUUCAAAUGCGAUGUGGGGACGGAGAAGGUUAGGUUGGCAAGCUGUUGGAAUAGCUUGUUUAAGCCGGUAGGUGGAAGACUUAGGCAAAUCCGGGUCUUCUUAACACCGAGAAGUGACGACGAGUGUCUACGGACACGAAGCUACCGAUACCACGCUUCCAGGAAAAGCCACUAAGCUUCAGUUUGAAUCGAACCGUACCGCAAACCGACACAGGUGGGCAGGAUGAGAAUUCUAAGGCGCUUGAGAGAACUCAGGAGAAGGAACUCGGCAAAUUGAUACCGUAACUUCGGGAGAAGGUAUGCCCUCUAAGGUUAAGGACUUGCUCCGUAAGCCCCGGAGGGUCGCAGAGAAUAGGUGGCUGCGACUGUUUAUUAAAAACACAGCACUCUGCUAACACGAAAGUGGACGUAUAGGGUGUGACGCCUGCCCGGUGCUGGAAGGUUAAUUGAAGAUGUGAGAGCAUCGGAUCGAAGCCCCAGUAAACGGCGGCCGUAACUAUAACGGUCCUAAGGUAGCGAAAUUCCUUGUCGGGUAAGUUCCGACCCGCACGAAUGGCGUAACGAUGGCCACACUGUCUCCUCCUGAGACUCAGCGAAGUUGAAGUGGUUGUGAAGAUGCAAUCUACCCGCUGCUAGACGGAAAGACCCCGUGAACCUUUACUGUAGCUUUGCAUUGGACUUUGAAGUCACUUGUGUAGGAUAGGUGGGAGGCUUAGAAGCAGAGACGCCAGUCUCUGUGGAGCCGUCCUUGAAAUACCACCCUGGUGUCUUUGAGGUUCUAACCCAGACCCGUCAUCCGGGUCGGGGACCGUGCAUGGUAGGCAGUUUGACUGGGGCGGUCUCCUCCCAAAGCGUAACGGAGGAGUUCGAAGGUUACCUAGGUCCGGUCGGAAAUCGGACUGAUAGUGCAAUGGCAAAAGGUAGCUUAACUGCGAGACCGACAAGUCGAGCAGGUGCGAAAGCAGGACAUAGUGAUCCGGUGGUUCUGUAUGGAAGGGCCAUCGCUCAACGGAUAAAAGGUACUCCGGGGAUAACAGGCUGAUUCCGCCCAAGAGUUCAUAUCGACGGCGGAGUUUGGCACCUCGAUGUCGGCUCAUCACAUCCUGGGGCUGUAGUCGGUCCCAAGGGUAUGGCUGUUCGCCAUUUAAAGUGGUACGUGAGCUGGGUUUAAAACGUCGUGAGACAGUUUGGUCCCUAUCUGCAGUGGGCGUUGGAAGUUUGACGGGGGCUGCUCCUAGUACGAGAGGACCGGAGUGGACGAACCUCUGGUGUACCGGUUGUAACGCCAGUUGCAUAGCCGGGUAGCUAAGUUCGGAAGAGAUAAGCGCUGAAAGCAUCUAAGCGCGAAACUCGCCUGAAGAUGAGACUUCCCUUGCGGUUUAACCGCACUAAAGAGUCGUUCGAGACCAGGACGUUGAUAGGUGGGGUGUGGAAGCGCGGUAACGCGUGAAGCUAACCCAUACUAAUUGCUCGUGAGGCUUGACU